This 66-nucleotide transfer RNA is filed under the name Bothriocroton concolor (echidna tick). RNAcentral's name for it is "tRNA-Lys". The record is from RNAcentral. Lineage: Eukaryota; Metazoa; Arthropoda; Arachnida; Ixodida; Ixodidae.
CAUUGAAUGGCUGAAAUUUAAGCAGUGGUCUCUUAAACCAACAAAUAGUAAAUAUACUUUCAAUGG